Oncorhynchus tshawytscha (Chinook salmon) is the source of this 475-nucleotide long non-coding RNA. The record is from Ensembl. Lineage: Eukaryota; Metazoa; Chordata; Actinopteri; Salmoniformes; Salmonidae.
CUGCUCUGUCACCGCCAUCGAAAAUGUUUUAACCUGAGAUUUUACAAAAUGCAAAUAUCGUGGGUUUGAUAACAUUUGUCCGGAAUCAUUUAGGCACAUCUCUUUAUUGUUUUAUCAGUGGACAUGCGGCUCACAAAAAAAUGCGCUCGAGCGCUCCUGGGAAUUGUGACUUUGCUCCUCAACCUGUCAGAAUGUCUGCGCAUGACCGUCCGCCCUGACAAAGAUGCUACUGUGACUGUGUCGUCCUCACUGCUCCUUCCAUUGGAACAGUGUUCCGUAUGCAAGGUCAAUGGCACUGAGAAUGACACCCAGACGACCUGUCACUCAUCGCUGGCCCUGGUCCCCGAUGAGGAUGUCACCUUGCUCUUCAACUGCACUGAACCACCACAAAGUGCUUUCGUCAUCCAGAUCCACAGGAAAAUCGAAUGCACCAAUGACACCUGCAGCCCUGCCACAGGUGUGGCUCAGCCUUCCC